GCGGCAGGCUUAACACAUGCAAGUCGAGGGGUAUAGGUUUUCGGAUCUAGAGCCGGCGCACGGGUGCUAACGCGUAUGAAUCUACCUUUUACAGAGGGAUAGCCCAGAGAAAUUUGGAUUAAUACCUCAUAGCAUAGCAGCUUCGCAUGAAGCAGCUAUUAAAGUCACAACGGUAAAAGUGAGCAUGCGUCCCAUUAGCUAGUUGGUAAGGUAACGGCUUACCAAGGCUACGAUGGGUAGGGGUCCUGAGAGGGAGAUCCCCCACACUGGUACUGAGACACGGACCAGACUCCUACGGGAGGCAGCAGUGAGGAAUAUUGGACAAUGGGCGCAAGCCUGAUCCAGCCAUGCCGCGUGCAGGAUGACGGUCCUAUGGAUUGUAAACUGCUUUUGUACGAGAAGAAACAUCCCGACGUGUCGGGACUUGACGGUAUCGUAAGAAUAAGGAUCGGCUAACUCCGUGCCAGCAGCCGCGGUAAUACGGAGGAUCCAAGCGUUAUCCGGAAUCAUUGGGUUUAAAGGGUCCGUAGGCGGUUUGGUAAGUCAGUGGUGAAAGCCCAUCGCUCAACGGUGGAACGGCCAUUGAUACUGCCAGACUUGAAUUAUUAGGAAGUAACUAGAAUAUGUAGUGUAGCGGUGAAAUGCUUAGAGAUU
This 654-nucleotide ribosomal RNA is filed under the name Bacteroidetes bacterium AT-BI-08. Its description in RNAcentral is "bacterial SSU rRNA". It matches the Rfam family "Bacterial small subunit ribosomal RNA", at positions 39 to 698 of the family's 1533-position model. Lineage: Bacteria; Pseudomonadati; Bacteroidota. The record is from RNAcentral.